RNAcentral lists this ribosomal RNA (751 nucleotides) under uncultured Serratia sp. RNAcentral describes it as "bacterial SSU rRNA". It matches the Rfam family "Bacterial small subunit ribosomal RNA", at positions 1 to 744 of the family's 1533-position model. Lineage: Bacteria; Pseudomonadati; Pseudomonadota; Gammaproteobacteria; Enterobacterales; Yersiniaceae. The record is from RNAcentral.
GAGAUUAGUUUGAUCCUGGCUCAGACUGAACGCUGGCGGCAGGCUUAACACAUGCAAGUCGAGCGGUAGCACGGGGGAGCUUGCUCCCUGGGUGACGAGCGGCGGACGGGUGAGUAAUGUCUGGGAAACUGCCUGAUGGAGGGGGAUAACUACUGGAAACGGUAGCUAAUACCGCGUAACGUCGCAAGACCAAAGAGGGGGACCUUCGGGCCUCUUGCCGUCAGAUGUGCCCAGAUGGGAUUAGCUAGUAGGUGGGGUAAUGGCUCACCUAGGCGACGAUCCCUAGCUGGUCUGAGAGGAUGACCAGCCACACUGGAACUGAGACACGGUCCAGACUCCUACGGGAGGCAGCAGUGGGGAAUAUUGCACAAUGGGCGCAAGCCUGAUGCAGCCAUGCCGCGUGUGUGAAGAAGGCCUUCGGGUUGUAAAGCACUUUCAGCGAGGAGGAAGGUGGUGAACUUAAUACGUUCAUCAAUUGACGUUACUCGCAGAAGAAGCACCGGCUAACUCCGUGCCAGCAGCCGCGGUAAUACGGAGGGUGCAAGCGUUAAUCGGAAUUACUGGGCGUAAAGCGCACGCAGGCGGUUUGUUAAGUCAGAUGUGAAAUCCCCGGGCUCAACCUGGGAACUGCAUUUGAAACUGGCAAGCUAGAGUCUCGUAGAGGGGGGUAGAAUUCCAGGUGUAGCGGUGAAAUGCGUAGAGAUCUGGAGGAAUACCGGUGGCGAAGGCGGCCCCCUGGACGAAGACUGAC